UGCUCUUUUCCACCGCAACGAUAAUAUAUAGUUUAUGAACUAUUUGCUUUUGGAUUCUCAUCGUAUCGUGCUUGUGGCAAAGUGACCAACUUCAGGUUGUCAUAUCUCUCCUAUAAGCCAUUCCACAAGAUAGGUGGAUCUUUGACUGUGAUAUAUUCAAUUUUCAAACCUUCAUCAAGGUGAUGGCGCAAGUAAAUCAAGGCCU
This 205-nucleotide long non-coding RNA is filed under the name Nicotiana benthamiana. RNAcentral's name for it is "long non-coding RNA (NBEN_LNC003838)". The record is from RNAcentral. Lineage: Eukaryota; Viridiplantae; Streptophyta; Magnoliopsida; Solanales; Solanaceae.